This is a long non-coding RNA of Colias croceus (clouded yellow), 687 nucleotides long. RefSeq lists it as uncharacterized. The transcript is spliced from 5 exons. The record is from RefSeq and is a predicted model, not a curated record. NCBI's taxonomy places the organism in Eukaryota, Metazoa, Arthropoda, Insecta, Lepidoptera, Pieridae.
AUGGCCAUAUAAUGAUAUAUUGUCGACUGCUGGUUGUCCUGCUGCUAUCGGUGCUACGAGCGGUGAGCGCGUGUGGCGGCAAGAAGGUGGUCACCUGCAAUCCGAACAAACCGCCUUGUAAACGAUAGUGUGGCAUGGAAACAGAGUUGUUCCAAGAGGUUGUGGUGCUGCUUGUGACGCUGCUGCUGUCGUACCUGGAGUCCUGCUUUGCCUGCACGAGGGUCCGCUACAACGACUGUACUGACUCUAAUGCUACGUGUAAGAAAUAAGCAAAAAUGCCGUUCAUAAACGAAUUCGUGCUGGUGUUCAUUCACAUCGCGCUAUCGGUGAUGGAGGCGACGAGCGCCUGUAGGAGACGCAAGCAUUGUCUCAGCAGUGAGUGCAGACCCUGCAAUCAGUUUGGGGGACCGAAAGCUAGAGCCAAGCAAAACAUAAAGUAACACCAUCAAACCAUGUCCUCAAAGAAAUUCCUAUUCAUUCUCCUGCUCCUCAUCAUGUGGACACUGGCGACCGGCUGCAAGCGGAAGAACACCUGCCCUAAAUACUGUAUACCAUGCAAAUAUAAGGGCCCCAUUAUAGAAAUACUGCACCCUAAAGAGGCAAGAAAUUCCUUUGUUAUGGCAGAAGAUAAGACUAUGAAGAGAAAGUGGCGAAUAUGGAAAAAAUAGCAAAAAAAUUGACAAAUUG